Long non-coding RNA from Alosa alosa (allis shad), 228 nucleotides. RefSeq lists it as uncharacterized. Lineage: Eukaryota; Metazoa; Chordata; Actinopteri; Clupeiformes; Clupeidae. The record is from RefSeq and is a predicted model, not a curated record. The transcript is spliced from 3 exons.
UUCACCACCUCAACUCCCUGCACCUGCAUUUAACAUACGGAGAGUUACUCAAGGAACGGCAGUCCCUCCUCACCUCCCUCCACCCCCACACUAGCCCUCAACGUGCAGCGAACAGAGGAGCUUUGUGCUGUGAGGAAAAACAUGGUGACACGGUCUGCCACGGACACUGAGGUCACCAAACACGCAAUCAGGUGUUUCAACCGGCGGUGGAUCGGACAACGAGGAGAU